This 1276-nucleotide ribosomal RNA is filed under the name Staphylococcus aureus. RNAcentral describes it as "partial 23S ribosomal RNA". It matches the Rfam family "Bacterial large subunit ribosomal RNA", at positions 1020 to 2297 of the family's 2925-position model. The record is from RNAcentral. Lineage: Bacteria; Bacillati; Bacillota; Bacilli; Caryophanales; Staphylococcaceae.
AAACAGCCCAGACCACCAGCUAAGGUCCCAAAAUAUAUGUUAAGUGGAAAAGGAUGUGGCGUUGCCCAGACAACUAGGAUGUUGGCUUAGAAGCAGCCAUCAUUUAAAGAGUGCGUAAUAGCUCACUAGUCGAGUGACACUGCGCCGAAAAUGUACCGGGGCUAAACAUAUUACCGAAGCUGUGGAUUGUCCUUUGGACAAUGGUAGGAGAGCGUUCUAAGGGCGUUGAAGCAUGAUCGCAAGGACAUGUGGAGCGCUUAGAAGUGAGAAUGCCGGUGUGAGUAGCGAAAGACGGGUGAGAAUCCCGUCCACCGAUUGACUAAGGUUUCCAGAGGAAGGCUCGUCCGCUCUGGGUUAGUCGGGUCCUAAGCUGAGGCCGACAGGCGUAGGCGAUGGAUAACAGGUUGAUAUUCCUGUACCACCUAUAAUCGUUUUAAUCGAUGGGGGGACGCAGUAGGAUAGGCGAAGCGUGCGAUUGGAUUGCACGUCUAAGCAGUAAGGCUGAGUAUUAGGCAAAUCCGGUACUCGUUAAGGCUGAGCUGUGAUGGGGAGAAGACAUUGUGUCUUCGAGUCGUUGAUUUCACACUGCCGAGAAAAGCCUCUAGAUAGAAAAUAGGUGCCCGUACCGCAAACCGACACAGGUAGUCAAGAUGAGAAUUCUAAGGUGAGCGAGCGAACUCUCGUUAAGGAACUCGGCAAAAUGACCCCGUAACUUCGGGAGAAGGGGUGCUCUUUAGGGUUAACGCCCAGAAGAGCCGCAGUGAAUAGGCCCAAGCGACUGUUUAUCAAAAACACAGGUCUCUGCUAAACCGUAAGGUGAUGUAUAGGGGCUGACGCCUGCCCGGUGCUGGAAGGUUAAGAGGAGUGGUUAGCUUCUGCGAAGCUACGAAUCGAAGCCCCAGUAAACGGCGGCCGUAACUAUAACGGUCCUAAGGUAGCGAAAUUCCUUGUCGGGUAAGUUCCGACCCGCACGAAAGGCGUAACGAUUUGGGCACUGUCUCAACGAGAGACUCGGUGAAAUCAUAGUACCUGUGAAGAUGCAGGUUACCCGCGACAGGACGGAAAGACCCCGUGGAGCUUUACUGUAGCCUGAUAUUGAAAUUCGGCACAGCUUGUACAGGAUAGGUAGGAGCCUUUGAAACGUGAGCGCUAGCUUACGUGGAGGCGCUGGUGGGAUACUACCCUAGCUGUGUUGGCUUUCUAACCCGCACCACUUAUCGUGGUGGGAGACAGUGUCAGGCGGGCAGUUUGACUGGGGCGGUCGCCUCCUAAAAGG